RNAcentral lists this ribosomal RNA (253 nucleotides) under uncultured bacterium. RNAcentral's name for it is "partial 16S ribosomal RNA". It matches the Rfam family "Bacterial small subunit ribosomal RNA", at positions 524 to 776 of the family's 1533-position model. The record is from RNAcentral.
UACGUAGGGGGCAAGCGUUGUCCGGAUUUAUUGGGCGUAAAGAGCGUGUAGGCGGCCAUACAGGUCAGCUGUGAAAACUCGAGGCUCAACCUCGAGACGUCGGUUGAAACCGUAUGGCUAGAGUCCGGAAGAGGAGAGUGGAAUUCCAGGUGUAGCGGUGAAAUGCGCAGAUAUCGGGAGGAACACCUGUGGCGAAAGCGGCUCACUGGACCACAACUGACGCUGAGGCGCGAAAGCUAGGGGAGCAAACAGG